GGGAUGUGGGAGGUCAGAGGAUAAUUCGUGGAAAUCAGCUCCUUCCUUCCCAUGAUGUGGAUCCUGGGGAUCAAAGUCAAGCCUGAGGCGUGAGGACAAGAGCCUGUACACACUGAGCCAUCCCACUGGAGCAGGAGCUGGCUGUGUCAGACUUGGCUCAUCUCACCCAAACUUUGCCCGAGAUGCUCAGUCGACCUGGCGUCCAGAGCUGGCUGCAGCCGUGGAAGAUGACCCGCCUGAGUCAAGGAAUCUAGAAUCCGUCCAGCAGCGAAGGGACUUUUGCUCUUCUCACCCUUGGAGAGACAGGAGUUGGAGAAUGUUGGCCUCCAGGCAGAACACUGUUAACGGGCUUCAUCGGGGCAGCUGGGAGUCCUCCCAAGACAUUCUCAAGCUCUCUUCCAUCUGUGUGCAGUUCUGCCCAGGGAGAAUUGGUCUGGCGGGCCUGGGCAGUGAUGGAGCGUGUGGAUGGUCAGCUGAAGGAGGGCUCUGUCUGCGUCGAUGUCUCGACUGAGACUUUCUGGAACUAUGGGUGCUUGGCAGCCACCCACACCCCUCAACAUCUGGCAGCUACUAAACAUUUCAUGCCGGAAUUUGAUUUGUCUGUUCUUCCAGAGGUCCUGAGUUCAAUUCCCACAUGGUGGCUCCCAACCAUCUAUACUGGGAUCUGAUGCCCUCUUCUGGCCUGCAGGUAUACAUGCAGGCAGAAC
Molecule: long non-coding RNA, 707 nt
Organism: Meriones unguiculatus (Mongolian gerbil)
Lineage: Eukaryota; Metazoa; Chordata; Mammalia; Rodentia; Muridae
Exons: 5
Source: RefSeq, a predicted model, not a curated record